GACGAACGCUGGCGGCGUGCUUAACACAUGCAAGUCGAACGGAAAGGCCCUGCUUUUGUGGGGUUCUCGAGUGGCGAACUGGUGAGUAACACGUGAGUAACCUGCCCUUGACUUUGAGAUAACUUCAGGAAACUGGGGCUAAUACCUGAUAGGAGCUCCUGCUGCAUGUUGGGGUUUGGAAAGUUUCUGCGGUUGGGGAUGGACUCGCGGCUUAUCAGCUUGUUGGUGGGGUAGUGGCUUACCAAGGCUUUGACGGGUAGCCGGCCUGAGAGGGUGACCGGCCACAUUGGGACUGAGAUACGGCCCAGACUCCUACGGGAGGCAGCAGUGGGGAAUAUUGCACAAUGGGCGGAAGCCUGAUGCAGAAACGCCGCGUGCGGGAUGACGGCCUUCGGGUUGUAAACCGCUUUCGCCUGUGACGAAGCGUGAGUGACGGUAAUGGGUAAAGAAGCACCGGCUAACUACGUG
RNAcentral lists this ribosomal RNA (468 nucleotides) under uncultured bacterium. RNAcentral describes it as "partial 16S ribosomal RNA". It matches the Rfam family "Bacterial small subunit ribosomal RNA", at positions 28 to 507 of the family's 1533-position model. The record is from RNAcentral.